This 563-nucleotide long non-coding RNA is filed under the name Nicotiana benthamiana. Its description in RNAcentral is "long non-coding RNA (NBEN_LNC018500)". The record is from RNAcentral. Lineage: Eukaryota; Viridiplantae; Streptophyta; Magnoliopsida; Solanales; Solanaceae.
GAUGAAGAAGAAAAGGUAGCUUCACUAUUGUCUGAGCUUCGUCUUGAAGGGGUAGGUGCUGGGGAAGUUUUAAGGAGGGUAUCUCUUGAUGUUACAUCAGGGACAGAGAGUGCAAAUGGGAAUGAGGAAGUGCUUCUCAAGUUAUUGCAUGUGGUUCUUGAAGGGAAGGAUGAGAAGGCGAGGCGAGAGAUGAAAGGCUUAGUAUCCAAAAUGUUGCAUGAGAAUUCAUCUCAUAACGACCUGAGGAAGGAGUCACUGUAUUCGGCUUGCAAUGCAUGUCUGCAAUUGCUUCGCCACCAUUUUUUACGGACAGCAGAUGCAGACAUGGCGGAUGUGGGUCAGAUUGCACGACAGGCUGAUAAUCUGCAUUGGAUUUUGGAUAUCUUGAUUGAUAGACAGAUAGCUGAAGAUUUUUUGAGGACUUGGGCUUCUCAGUCUGAAUUAUCUGCGGCACAUCCUAAGGUGCCUGCACUUGCAAAUGGGAAUGAGGAAGUACUUCUCAAGUUAUUGCAUGUGGUUCUUGAAGGGAAGGAUGAGAAGGCGAGGCGAGAGAUGAAAGGCUU